This 253-nucleotide ribosomal RNA is filed under the name uncultured bacterium. RNAcentral describes it as "partial 16S ribosomal RNA". It matches the Rfam family "Bacterial small subunit ribosomal RNA", at positions 524 to 776 of the family's 1533-position model. The record is from RNAcentral.
UACAGGGGGCCCGAGCGUUAAUCGGAAUCACUGGGCUUAAAGGGUGCGUAGGCGGCCAUGCGUGUCUUCCGUGAAAUCCCUCGGCUUAACUGAGGACGUGCGGAAGAAACUGCAAGGCUCGAGUCCGGGAGAGGAGGGUGGAAUUCCCAGUGUAGCGGUGAAAUGCGUAGAUAUUGGGAGGAACACCGGUGGCGAAGGCGGCCCUCUGGACCGGUACUGACGCUGAUGCGCGAAAGCGUGGGUAGCAAACGGG